GGGUGUAUAGCACCAAUUGGUAGUGCAACUGAUUCCAAAUCAGUAGGUUGGGGGUUCGAGUCCCUCUGCGCCCGCCA
Molecule: transfer RNA, 77 nt
Filed under: Bdellovibrionales bacterium RIFOXYA1_FULL_36_14
Lineage: Bacteria; Pseudomonadati; Bdellovibrionota; Bdellovibrionia; Bdellovibrionales
Also listed under: 5 other names
Description: tRNA-Trp
Rfam family: tRNA
About the family: Transfer RNA (tRNA) molecules are approximately 80 nucleotides in length. Their secondary structure includes four short double-helical elements and three loops (D, anti-codon, and T loops).
Source: RNAcentral